RNAcentral lists this unclassified non-coding RNA (271 nucleotides) under uncultured Volvariella. Its description in RNAcentral is "sequence contains ITS1". The record is from RNAcentral. Lineage: Eukaryota; Fungi; Basidiomycota; Agaricomycetes; Agaricales; Pluteaceae.
UGCAUCGAGAAGACCCGAGAGGCCCUACUGAUGCGUUUGAGGAGAGCGAGAGGCCAAUCUGUAGGCCUCCCGCAGCGCUCCCACAUCCAAGUCCCCAAAAGCCGCGAAGGGCGAAGGGGGCCUUGAGGAUUCAAUGACACUCAAACAGGCAUGCUCUUUGGAAUGGCCAAAAAGCGCAAGGUGCGUUCAAAGAUUCGAUGAUUCACUGAAUUCUGCAAUUCACAUUACUUAUCGCAUUUCGCUGCGUUCUUCAUCGAGCUUACGUGCACUU